This 313-nucleotide long non-coding RNA is filed under the name Elaeis guineensis (African oil palm). Its description in RNAcentral is "long non-coding RNA (EGUI_LNC081773)". Lineage: Eukaryota; Viridiplantae; Streptophyta; Magnoliopsida; Arecales; Arecaceae. The record is from RNAcentral.
AGGUGAUGGAAGUGGGAGGGGGGAGGAGGCGGCCGUGCCGCCAGAAGGGGGAAGAGGUUGGAGGGGUUGAAGAGGACCAUGCCCUCGAAGAGGGAGCCGCUGGAGUCGGCCGGACUGUUUUGAAAAAUAAUUAUGGUGUUAGUGAAGAGGCCGGGGGAAGGAAAAAAAAAAACUGCUGGAGGAUAUUACCUUGUCCGGUGGCUAACCUUCGUUGGCUCUGAGAUGGACGAUAUCCUCAUGAUCAGUGAUCUCAUUCAGGCUGAUGGGAGGAGCUGAAAUGAGUAUCUGAUGACUCAUUUCUUUGAUGGCCAGU